Molecule: unclassified non-coding RNA, 140 nt
Filed under: soil metagenome
Description: partial internal transcribed spacer 1
Source: RNAcentral
CCUAGAGUUGUAGGCUUUGCCUGCUAUCUCUUACCCAUGUCUUUUGAGUACCUUACGUUUCCUCGGUGGGUUCGCCCACCGAUUGGACAAACUUAAACCCUUUGCAGUUGAAAUCAGCGUCUGAAAAAACUUAAUAGUUG